Molecule: ribosomal RNA, 253 nt
Filed under: uncultured bacterium
Lineage: Bacteria
Description: partial 16S ribosomal RNA
Rfam family: Bacterial small subunit ribosomal RNA
Source: RNAcentral
UACGGGGGGGGCAAGCGUUGUUCGGAAUUACUGGGCGUAAAGGGCUCGUAGGCGGCCAACUAAGUCGGAUGUGAAAUCCCCAGGCUUAACCUGGGAACUGCAUCCGAUACUGGAUGGCUUGAAUCCGGGAGAGGGAUGCAGAAUUCCAGGUGUAGCGGUGAAAUGCGUAGAUAUCUGGAGGAACACCGGUGGCGAAGGCGGCUCUCUGGAACGCAACUGACGCUGAGACGCGAAAGCGUGGGGAGCAAACAGG